UGGCGAGGUGGUCGAGUGGUCUAAGACGCUGUGUUAAGGCCGCAGUCCUUCGGGGCGCGGGUUCAAAUCCCGCCCUCGUCAG
RNAcentral lists this transfer RNA (82 nucleotides) under compost metagenome. RNAcentral describes it as "tRNA-Leu". It matches the Rfam family "tRNA". From Rfam's summary of the family: Transfer RNA (tRNA) molecules are approximately 80 nucleotides in length. Their secondary structure includes four short double-helical elements and three loops (D, anti-codon, and T loops). The record is from RNAcentral.